UGGAAACUNUCUGACUUGAGUGCAGAAGGGGAGAGUGGAAUUCCAUGUGUAGCGGUGAAAUGCGUAGAUAUAUGGAGGAACACCAGUGGCGAAAGCGGCUCUCUGGUCUGUCACUGACGCUGAGGCUCGAAAGCGUGGGUAGCGAACAGGAUUAGAUACCCUGGUAGUNCACGCCGUAAACGAUGAGUGCUAGGUGUUAGGCCCUUUCCGGGGCUUAGUGCCGGAGCUAACGCAAUAAGCACUCCGCCUGGGGAGUACGACCGCAAGGUUGAAACUCAAAGGAAUUGACGGGGGCCCGCACAAGCGGUGGAGCAUGUGGUUUAAUUCGAAGCAACGCGAAGAACCUUACCAGGUCUUGACAUCCCGAUGCUAUUCUUAGAGAUAGGAAGUUACUUCGGUACAUCGAAGACAGGUGGUGCAUGGUUGUCGUCAGCUCGUGUCGUGAGAUGUUGGGUUAAGUCCCGCAACGAGCGCAACCCUUAUUGUUAGUUGCCAUCAUUAAGUUGGGCACUCUAGCGAGACUGCCGGUAAUAAACCGGAGGAAGGUGGGGAUGACGUCAAAUCAUCAUGCCCCUUAUGACCUGGGCUACACACGUGCUACAAUGGUCGGUACAACGAGUUGCGAGCCGGUGACGGCAAGCUAAUCUCUGAAAGCCGAUCUCAGUUCGGAUUGGAGGCUGCAACUCGCCUCCAUGAAGUCGGAAUCGCUAGUAAUCGCGGAUCAGCACGCCGCGGUGAAUACGUUCCCGGGCCUUGUACACACCGCCCGUCACACCACGAGAGUUUGUAACACCCGAA
Molecule: ribosomal RNA, 798 nt
Filed under: uncultured bacterium
Lineage: Bacteria
Description: bacterial SSU rRNA
Rfam family: Bacterial small subunit ribosomal RNA
Source: RNAcentral